RNAcentral lists this small nuclear RNA (159 nucleotides) under Trichobilharzia regenti. RNAcentral describes it as "U1 spliceosomal RNA". It matches the Rfam family "U1 spliceosomal RNA". From Rfam's summary of the family: U1 is a small nuclear RNA (snRNA) component of the spliceosome (involved in pre-mRNA splicing). Its 5' end forms complementary base pairs with the 5' splice junction, thus defining the 5' donor site of an intron. Lineage: Eukaryota; Metazoa; Platyhelminthes; Trematoda; Strigeidida; Schistosomatidae. The record is from Rfam by way of RNAcentral.
CUUCUUACCUGUCGCAAGGUUCAGGGUGGUCAAGAAUGCUCUGACCACGGGUGGAUGCUCACCACUGCACCGCGGUGGGUUGAAACUCGCGACGGACCCUAAUCGAGUGCGCUCGGGCGUGUAGUUUUUGUCAGUGGGGAGGUCUCACGGUCCUCCCUU